GACGAACGCUGGCGGCGUGCUUAACACAUGCAAGUCGAACGGAAAGGCCCUGCUUUUGUGGGGUGCUCGAGUGGCGAACGGGUGAGUAACACGUGAGUAACCUGCCCUUGACUUUGGGAUAACUUCAGGAAACUGGGGCUAAUACCGGAUAGGAGCUCCUGCUGCAUGGUGGGGGUUGGAAAGUUUCGGCGGUUGGGGAUGGACUCGCGGCUUAUCAGCUUGUUGGUGGGGUAGUGGCUUACCAAGGCUUUGACGGGUAGCCGGCCUGAGCGGGUGACCGGCCACAUUGGGCCUGAGAUACGGCCCGGACUCCUCCGGGAGGCAGCAGUGGGGAAUAUUGCACAAUGGGCGGAAGCCUGAUGCAGCAACGCCGCGUGCGGGAUGACGGCCUUCGGGUUGUAAACCGCUUUCGCCUGUGACGAAGCGUGAGUGACGGUAAUGGGUAAAGAAGCACCGGCUAACUACGUG
This 468-nucleotide ribosomal RNA is filed under the name uncultured bacterium. RNAcentral describes it as "partial 16S ribosomal RNA". It matches the Rfam family "Bacterial small subunit ribosomal RNA", at positions 28 to 507 of the family's 1533-position model. The record is from RNAcentral.